GGGGAAUAUUGGGCAAUGGGGGAAACCCUGACCCAGCAACGCCGCGUGAAGGAAGAAGGCUUUCGGGUUGUAAACUUCUUUUACCAGGGACGAAGGACGUGACGGUACCUGGAGAAAAAGCCACGGCUAACUACGUGCCAGCAGCCGCGGUAAUACGUAGGUGGCAGGCGUUGUCCGGAUUUACUGGGUGUAAAGGGCGUGUAGGCGGAGAAGCAAGUCAGAAGUGAAAUCCAUGGGCUUAACCCAUGAACUGCUUUUGAAACUGUUUCCCUUGAGUAUCGGAGAGGCAGGCGGAAUUCCUAGUGUAGCGGUGAAAUGCGUAGAUAUUAGGAGGAACACCAGUGGCGAAGGCGGCCUGCUGGACGACAACUGACGCUGAGGCGCGAAAGCGUGGGGAGCAAACAGGAUUAGAUACCCUGGUAGUCCACGCUGUAAACGAUGAAUACUAGGUGUGGGAGGACUGACCCCUUCCGUGCCGCAGUUAACACAAUAAGUAUUCCACCUGGGGAGUACGAUCGCAAGAUUGAAACUCAAAGGAAUUGACGGGGGCCCGCACAAGCAGUGGAUUAUGUGGUUUAAUUCGACGCAACGCGAAGAACCUUACCGGGAUUUGACAUCCUACUAACGAAGCAGAGAUGCAUUAGGUGCCCUUCGGGGAAAGUAGAGACAGGUGGUGCAUGGUUGUCGUCAGCUCGUGUCGUGAGAUGUUGGGUUAAGUCCCGCAACGAGCGCAACCCCUAUUGUUAGUUGCUACGCAAGAGCACUCUAGCGAGACUGCCGUUGACAAAACGGAGGAAGGCGGGGACGACGUCAAAUCAUCAUGCCCCUUAUGUCCCGGGCUACACAUGUAAUACAAUGGCGGUCAACAGAGGGAAGCAAAACCGCGAGGCAGAGCAAACCCCUAAAAGCCGUCUCAGUUCGGAUUGCAGGCUGCAACUCGCCUGCAUGAAGUUGGAAUUGCUAGUAAUCGUGGAUCAGCAUGCCACGGUGAAUACGUUCCCG
RNAcentral lists this ribosomal RNA (1002 nucleotides) under uncultured organism. RNAcentral's name for it is "bacterial SSU rRNA". It matches the Rfam family "Bacterial small subunit ribosomal RNA", at positions 356 to 1376 of the family's 1533-position model. The record is from RNAcentral.